RNAcentral lists this ribosomal RNA (254 nucleotides) under uncultured bacterium. RNAcentral's name for it is "partial 16S ribosomal RNA". It matches the Rfam family "Bacterial small subunit ribosomal RNA", at positions 524 to 776 of the family's 1533-position model. The record is from RNAcentral.
UACGGGGGGAGCAAGCGUUGUUCGGAUUUACUGGGCGUAAAGGGCGGGUAGGCGGCCACCGCAAGUCAGUUGUGAAAUCUCUGGGCUUAACCCAGAAAGGGCAACUGAUACUGCGGGGCUAGAGUGCAGAAGGGGCAACUGGAAUUCUCGGUGUAGCGGUGAAAUGCGUAGAUAUCGAGAGGAACACCUGCGGCGAAGGCGGGUUGCUGGGCUGACACUGACGCUGAACUGCGAAAGCUAGGGGAGCGAACGGG